Long non-coding RNA from Thalassophryne amazonica, 122 nucleotides. RefSeq lists it as uncharacterized. Lineage: Eukaryota; Metazoa; Chordata; Actinopteri; Batrachoidiformes; Batrachoididae. The record is from RefSeq and is a predicted model, not a curated record. The transcript is spliced from 3 exons.
UACAUUUAUAUUAUGUACAGUCUGCAUUGAACUUACUGAAUAAAAGCACAGAUGCACUCACGCUUUUAAUAUAAAGAUGAUUUUCUGCCCCCUGCUGGAAUGGUGAGUUUAGAAUGUAGUUA